RNAcentral lists this ribosomal RNA (327 nucleotides) under uncultured eukaryote. Its description in RNAcentral is "partial 18S ribosomal RNA". It matches the Rfam family "Eukaryotic small subunit ribosomal RNA", at positions 1470 to 1796 of the family's 1831-position model. The record is from RNAcentral.
CCCUUAGAUGUUCUGGGCCGCACACGCGCUACACUGAAGGAGACAGCGUGUACUCCUGGAUCGAAAGAUUUGGGUAACCCGCGAAUCUCCUUCGUGCUAGGGAUUGAGGUUUGCAAUUAUCCUUCAUGAACGAGGAAUUCCCAGUAAGUGCAAGUCAUAAGCUUGCGCUGACUACGUCCCUGCCCUUUGUACACACCGCCCGUCGCUACUACCGAUUGAAUGAUUUAGUGAGGACUUCGGACUGGGACCGAUGCGGCUUUCGGGCUGCGUCGGUAUUCUGGAAAGAUGUCCAAACUGUAUCAUUUAGAGGAAGUAAAAGUCGUANCA